RNAcentral lists this ribosomal RNA (1431 nucleotides) under uncultured organism. RNAcentral describes it as "16S ribosomal RNA". It matches the Rfam family "Bacterial small subunit ribosomal RNA". The record is from RNAcentral.
GCUAGCUACAGGCUUAACACAUGCAAGUCGAGGGGCAGCAUUUCAGUUUGCUUGCAAACUGGAGAUGGCGACCGGCGCACGGGUGAGUAACACGUAUCCAACCUGCCGAUAACUCGGGGAUAGCCUUUCGAAAGAAAGAUUAAUACCCGAUGGUAUAAUCAGACCGCAUGGUCUUAUUAUUAAAGAAUUUCGGUUAUCGAUGGGGAUGCGUUCCAUUAGGCAGUUGGUGAGGUAACGGCUCACCAAACCUUCGAUGGAUAGGGGUUCUGAGAGGAAGGUCCCCCACAUUGGAACUGAGACACGGUCCAAACUCCUACGGGAGGCAGCAGUGAGGAAUAUUGGUCAAUGGGCGCAGGCCUGAACCAGCCAAGUAGCGUGAAGGAUGACUGCCCUAUGGGUUGUAAACUUCUUUUAUAUGGGAAUAAAGUUUUCCACGUGUGGAAUUUUGUAUGUACCAUAUGAAUAAGGAUCGGCUAACUCCGUGCCAGCAGCCGCGGUAAUACGGAGGAUCCGAGCGUUAUCCGGAUUUAUUGGGUUUAAAGGGAGCGUAGGUGGACAGUUAAGUCAGUUGUGAAAGUUUGCGGCUCAACCGUAAAAUUGCAGUUGAUACUGGCUGUCUUGAGUACAGUAGAGGUGGGCGGAAUUCGUGGUGUAGCGGUGAAAUGCUUAGAUAUCACGAAGAACUCCGAUUGCGAAGGCAGCUCACUGGACUGCAACUGACACUGAUGCUCGAAAGUGUGGGUAUCAAACAGGAUUAGAUACCCUGGUAGUCCACACAGUAAACGAUGAAUACUCGCUGUUUGCGAUAUACAGUAAGCGGCCAAGCGAAAGCAUUAAGUAUUCCACCUGGGGAGUACGCCGGCAACGGUGAAACUCAAAGGAAUUGACGGGGGCCCGCACAAGCGGAGGAACAUGUGGUUUAAUUCGAUGAUACGCGAGGAACCUUACCCGGGCUUAAAUUGCAUUUGAAUAAUCUGGAAACAGGUUAGCCGCAAGGCAAAUGUGAAGGUGCUGCAUGGUUGUCGUCAGCUCGUGCCGUGAGGUGUCGGCUUAAGUGCCAUAACGAGCGCAACCCUUAUCUUUAGUUACUAACAGGUCAUGCUGAGGACUCUAGAGAGACUGCCGUCGUAAGAUGUGAGGAAGGUGGGGAUGACGUCAAAUCAGCACGGCCCUUACGUCCGGGGCUACACACGUGUUACAAUGGGGGGUACAGAAGGUAGCUACCUGGUGACAGGAUGCUAAUCCCAAAAGCCUCUCUCAGUUCGGAUCGAAGUCUGCAACCCGACUUCGUGAAGCUGGAUUCGCUGGUAAUCGCGCAUCAGCCAUGGCGCGGUGAAUACGUUCCCGGGCCUUGUACACACCGCCCGUCAAGCCAUGAAAGCCGGGGGUACCUAAAGGACGUAACCGCAAGGAGCGUCCUAGGGUAAAACU